Molecule: unclassified non-coding RNA, 303 nt
Filed under: Hevea brasiliensis (rubber tree)
Lineage: Eukaryota; Viridiplantae; Streptophyta; Magnoliopsida; Malpighiales; Euphorbiaceae
Source: RNAcentral
GCCAUCUUCUUCAACGGUCCAACCAGCCUCGUUGCAGAGCGCUUUAAGGACCUCAUUAUUGUCGCAGUGCUUAGGGAGCUUGUAAUUUCCAUACAUUCUCAGUCCAGCAUAGAUCUUCGCCGCGAUCGCCCUUCUUCUCCUCUCUCUUCUCUUAUUAUUCUCUCUCUCCUUCCACGUCGGCAUUCUCGUCCCCGACGUCAUUUUCCGACGAAGCUCCCUCAACACUACUACUGCAACAGAGCCAGAAAAGCUAAUCGAUAGAAACUCUUCUCAAUUAGAAAUUUUCUCGAGAGGCAAACAGGG